UCGUAAAACUCUGUUGUUGGAGAAGAAUGGUCGGCAGAGUAACUGUUGUCGGCGUGACGGUAUCCAACCAGAAAGCCACGGCUAACUACGUGCCAGCAGCCGCGGUAAUACGUAGGUGGCAAGCGUUAUCCGGAUUUAUUGGGCGUAAAGCGAGCGCAGGCGGUUUUUUAAGUCUGAUGUGAAAGCCCUCGGCUUAACCGAGGAAGCGCAUCGGAAACUGGGAAACUUGAGUGCAGAAGAGGACAGUGGAACUCCAUGUGUAGCGGUGAAAUGCGUAGAUAUAUGGAAGAACACCAGUGGCGAAGGCGGCUGUCUGGUCUGUAACUGACGCUGAGGCUCGAAAGCAUGGGUAGCGAACAGGAUUAGAUACCCUGGUAGUCCAUGCCGUAAACGAUGAAUGCUAGGUGUUGGAGGGUUUCCGCCCUUUCAGUGCCGCAGCUAACGCAUUAAGCAUUCCGCCUGGGGAGACGACCGCAAUG
This 479-nucleotide ribosomal RNA is filed under the name Lacticaseibacillus paracasei. RNAcentral's name for it is "bacterial SSU rRNA". It matches the Rfam family "Bacterial small subunit ribosomal RNA", at positions 423 to 893 of the family's 1533-position model. The record is from RNAcentral. Lineage: Bacteria; Bacillati; Bacillota; Bacilli; Lactobacillales; Lactobacillaceae.